RNAcentral lists this ribosomal RNA (245 nucleotides) under uncultured bacterium. Its description in RNAcentral is "partial 16S ribosomal RNA". It matches the Rfam family "Bacterial small subunit ribosomal RNA", at positions 524 to 766 of the family's 1533-position model. The record is from RNAcentral.
UACGUAGGAGGCAAGCGUUGUCCGGAUUUAUUGGGCGUAAAGAGCGUGUAGGCGGCCAGACAAGUCUGCUGUGAAAAACUCGAGGCUCAACCUCGAGCUGUCGGUGGAAACUGUCUGGCUAGAGUCCGGGAAGAGGAGAGUGGAAUUCCUGGUGUAGCGGUGAAAUGCGCAGAUAUCAGGAAGAACACCUAUGGCGAAGGCGCUCUCUGGGGACGGUACUGACGCUGAGACGCGAAAGCGUGGGG